Non-coding RNA from Phrynosoma platyrhinos (Desert horned lizard), 74 nucleotides. The record is from the annotation of a GenBank genome assembly. Lineage: Eukaryota; Metazoa; Chordata; Lepidosauria; Squamata; Phrynosomatidae.
GACCCAGAGUACUUUAAUGGUUUGAGCAUUGGACUAUGGCUCUGGAGAUCAGGGUUCAAAUCCCUGCUUGGCCA